Molecule: ribosomal RNA, 952 nt
Filed under: Salmonella enterica subsp. enterica serovar Infantis
Lineage: Bacteria; Pseudomonadati; Pseudomonadota; Gammaproteobacteria; Enterobacterales; Enterobacteriaceae
Description: partial 23S ribosomal RNA
Rfam family: Bacterial large subunit ribosomal RNA
Source: RNAcentral
UGUCUGAAUAUGGGGGGACCAUCCUCCAAGGCUAAAUACUCCUGACUGACCGAUAGUGAACCAGUACCGUGAGGGAAAGGCGAAAAGAACCCCGGCGAGGGGAGUGAAAAAGAACCUGAAACCGUGUACGUACAAGCAGUGGGAGCACAGGUUUACCUGUGUGACUGCGUACCUUUUGUAUAAUGGGUCAGCGACUUAUAUUCUGUAGCAAGGUUAACCGUAUAGGGGAGCCGGAGGGAAACCGAGUCUUAAUUGGGCGUUAAGUUGCAGGGUAUAGACCCGAAACCCGGUGAUCUAGCCAUGGGCAGGUUGAAGGUUGGGUAACACUAACUGGAGGACCGAACCGACUAAUGUUGAAAAAUUAGCGGAUGACCUGUGGCUGGGGGUGAAAGGCCAAUCAAACCGGGAGAUAGCUGGUUCUCCCCGAAAGCUAUUUAGGUAGCGCCUCGUGAAUUCAUCUCCGGGGGUAGAGCACUGUUUCGGCUAGGGGGCCAUCCCGGCUUACCAACCCGAUGCAAACUGCGAAUACCGGAGAAUGUUAUCACGGGAGACACACGGCGGGUGCUAACGUCCGUCGUGAAGAGGGAAACAACCCAGACCGCCAGCUAAGGUCCCAAAGUCAUGGUUAAGUGGGAAACGAUGUGGGAAGGCCCAGACAGCCAGGAUGUUGGCUUAGAAGCAGCCAUCAUUUAAAGAAAGCGUAAUAGCUCACUGGUCGAGUCGGCCUGCGCGGAAGAUGUAACGGGGCUAAACCAUGCACCGAAGCUGCGGCAGCGAACGUAUCACUUAAAGCGAUUCAGCGGGUUACGAUUGACGGAGCGAAGCGACGUCAAAGCGUAUACAAAGUCGAGUCGGUUUAAGGAUACGUUCGUUGGGUAGGGGAGCGUUCUGUAAGCCUGUGAAGGUGUGUCGUGAGGCAUGCUGGAGGUAUCAGAAGUGCGAAUGCUGACAU